This 823-nucleotide ribosomal RNA is filed under the name Coprinopsis semitalis. Its description in RNAcentral is "eukaryotic LSU rRNA". It matches the Rfam family "Eukaryotic large subunit ribosomal RNA", at positions 73 to 881 of the family's 3401-position model. The record is from RNAcentral. Lineage: Eukaryota; Fungi; Basidiomycota; Agaricomycetes; Agaricales; Psathyrellaceae.
GAUUCCCCUAGUAACUGCGAGUGAAGCGGGAAAAGCUCAAAUUUAAAAUCUGGCGGUCUUUGGCCGUCCGAGUUGUAAUCUAGAGAAGUGUUACCCGCGUCGGACCGUGUAUAAGUCUCCUGGAAUGGAGCGUCAUAGAGGGUGAGAAUCCCGUCUUUGACACGGACUACCGAGGCUUUUGUGGUGCGCUCUCAAAGAGUCGAGUUGUUUGGGAAUGCAGCUCAAAAUGGGUGGUAAAUUCCAUCUAAAGCUAAAUAUUGGCGAGAGACCGAUAGCGAACAAGUACCGUGAGGGAAAGAUGAAAAGAACUUUGGAAAGAGAGUUAAACAGUACGUGAAAUUGCUGAAAGGGAAACGCUUGAAGUCAGUCGCGUUGGCCGGAAAUCAACCUUGCUUCUGCUGGGUGUACUUUCUGGUUGACGGGCCAGCAUCAGUUUUGACCGAUGGAAAAAGUCCAAGGGAAUGUGGCAUCUCAGGAUGUGUUAUAGCCCUUGGUCGUAUACAUCGGUUGGGACUGAGGAAUUCAGCACGCCGAAAGGCCGGGUCUUUGACCACGUUCGUGCUUAGGAUGCUGGCAUAAUGGCUUUAAUCGACCCGUCUUGAAACACGGACCAAGGAGUCUAACAUGCCUGCGAGUGUUUGGGUGGAAAACCCGAGCGCGUAAUGAAAGUGAAAGUUGGGAUCCUUGUCAUGGGGAGCACCGACGCCCGGACCUGAAGUUUACGGACGGCUCCGCGGUAAAGCAUGUAUGUUGGGACCCGAAAGAUGGUGNNCUAUGCCUGAAUAGGGUGAAGCCAGAGGAAACUCUGGUGGAGGCUCGUAGC